GCCGGGUGUGGUGGUGUACGCCUGUAACCCCAGCUACUUGGGAGGCUGAGACAGGAGAAUCGCUUGAACCCGGGAGGUAGAGGUUGCAGUGAGCCAGGAUUGCGCCACUGCACUCCAGCCUGGGUAAUGGAGCGAGACUCUGUCUCAA
Molecule: non-coding RNA, 148 nt
Filed under: Nomascus leucogenys (northern white-cheeked gibbon)
Lineage: Eukaryota; Metazoa; Chordata; Mammalia; Primates; Hylobatidae
Source: Rfam by way of RNAcentral